RNAcentral lists this transfer RNA (79 nucleotides) under Gammaproteobacteria bacterium. RNAcentral describes it as "tRNA-OTHER". It matches the Rfam family "tRNA". From Rfam's summary of the family: Transfer RNA (tRNA) molecules are approximately 80 nucleotides in length. Their secondary structure includes four short double-helical elements and three loops (D, anti-codon, and T loops). The record is from RNAcentral. Lineage: Bacteria; Pseudomonadati; Pseudomonadota; Gammaproteobacteria.
GGUGCGGUGUAGCCCGAUGGGUAAGGGUGGCUGCCGCAACGCGGUAAGUUGAUGCCGGUUCGAAUCCGGCCCCGCAUCA